This is a long non-coding RNA of Acanthochromis polyacanthus (spiny chromis), 2969 nucleotides long. RefSeq lists it as uncharacterized. NCBI's taxonomy places the organism in Eukaryota, Metazoa, Chordata, Actinopteri, Pomacentridae. The transcript has 2 exons. The record is from RefSeq and is a predicted model, not a curated record.
AGGUUGCUCAGAUUCUCUUCGCCGAAGUAUCGAGCCUCUUUCGCUUAUUUCAGAUUUCUAGAAAUCCUUCGAAAGAGCGCAAAUUGUGGGAUUCUUGUCCGUCUUUGCUGACGAAAAGCGAGCAUUUCUGUAAUGUUCUGCUUUGCCGACAACAUCGUAACAAGAUAAGAUGUUCGCCAAAGUUGCCUGAUGCACUGUAGCUGCCUUUUUUUUCUUUUUUUUUUACCUGCUAAGCCACCAAGUUAUGCAUAUAAUGGAUUUAACUCCAUUCUGAUCUGCUCUGUGGGAAUCGAGAUGAGUCACAAGUGUUCGGAGCUCUUUGCCAGAGAUGUUUGGCGGCCCUUCUUGAGACGUACCCCCCUCUCCUCCCCCAAAAAACCAACUUCAGGUGACACUGAAAUGUGGACUUUGCUUUUUCAUUGCCCCCCUUUAUGUGUAGGUGUGCGCACACAUGCUGACAAUUGAUGCGUAGGGGUGUGGAGUGGUCAACUGAUGAGGCACUGUGGAGGCUGAGAGCUCUGGAGAGUGGUGUGUGGGUUGGAAGCCUCCUCUCCUCGCAAUGAAACACACAAACACACACACAAAGCUGGGGGAGGUGGAGGCAGCAGAGCUUGCUUCGCCGGCUGUCCAUUGAUCAGUGGAGAGGUUGGUAGACUUAAAAGAUCAGUGUGGAGACCGGUGGAGAGCAGAAAGAGGAGAUGGAGAGGAUGUAGACGGAAAGCAAAGGGGGGACAUUUAGAGGAAGAAAGACAGACAGAAAGAGGCAAAGUGAGUGAGGAGGCAGGGAUGAUAGGGGAAAUAAAGAAGCAGAUCACGCCGUCUGGGGUUGCCCCGGGGUUUUUACCCAGCCUGGAUGAAGCCUGUUGGACUCCUGUCAGACGUCGAGCAGGACAACAACUCUCCAGGAAAGACGAUGGAAAAAGUCGGACAGCAGCGUCCAUCUGUCCCCAGGAAAACUGAUGCUGCCAUCCGGGCUCAGUCAGCCAUCUUGUUUUGAAGUAGAACAACUGUAGAAAUGAGAUGUUGGAGGAAAUUUAGCUUCUUUCCCACAUGCACCUCCACAUAAAUGUCCUUUACAAGGUUAAAGCAUUGCUGUUAGAUACAUUAGAGCCAUGCUAGCAGCUACAUAAAGCUGUCUUUUGACAUAGCAACACUGUUAGCUCAAUGCUAACAGUGUUGCUAUGAGUGUUGUUAUGAGUUGUGAUUACAAGAUGUUGUGUAAAACCAAAUGUUUAGUAUUCAUGAAGUAGCAUUAGACAGAAGUCAUGACAACGCUGCUGCCAGAUAGUGGCGACAGGGAUGUUACUGUUGGCAUUUAGAAGCUAAUCCUAUAGCAGGCUAACUAGCAGGAUGCUUCAGGCAUAAUGAAAAAAUGUGGCCACUGAAAGUGUUAACAUUUUCCCUACAUGUUACAAAAUUACAAAUCAAACCUCUCCAUGAAUAAAAUGACAACAUAUGAACUUACAAUCCAGUGAAGAAUGAACUUCCCCUGCCUUAGCAAACAUGCCACAUCAGCCUGCUAGCAUACCAACGUAUGUGCUAAUUAGCAUAUUAAGAACACCUUAUGUAAAUAUCAGUAGUUUAGCAGGUGUUGUUUGAUGAAAUGACAUGCUAGUAAGAGUUAUCUACUGGGUAAUACACAUUUCUGUGCUACCAUGGCUUAAAAAAAUGCAUAUCCUUCUUUUAACAAUUAUCGUUUAGUGUAUUUAGAUGUUAGCAUGUCAGCUACCAUCAUUUUAUGACAACAGGACAUAUAGUGCGUCUUGCUAAUAAUAUUUACUUGUCACCCCUCUCCAAAGUGUCUCCAGAGGUUUUUAGCAGUUAAAGCUGUAAUUUUAGUUCCUUAUUUAUGCUUUGAAAGGUAAUAUAAUCUGAAAAACUCACAUAGAAACACACAGACGAAGAUGUUUUUCCACUGCUAGAUAAACAUCAAACAAUACAUUCUCACCUGUGAGGCUGCAGGAAGUGAGAAAAAGGUUUAAUGAGCCCUGCAGAGCCAGUACACCGCAAAAAAAAAAUAUCUCUGAUGGAAAAUUGACUCCAGCAAACCAACCUUUUCACAUGUUUCCGACAGAGGAAAUGCGAAGAGUGAAGGUGCAAGUGGGAAAAAGGCAUCUUCUGAGUUCAGACUAUGAAUCAAUUGCAUGAUUUUUUUAUUUUGUGAGGACAUUUUGUAAAUAGGGAAAAAAAUGCCUGCCAAAAAGCAUGAAUUUUUUGUUUCAUUACAAGCUGUACCCCACAUCCUCACCUGCAUUACAUCAGCAGUGGCCUCAGCAUGGAUUUGUUUUCCUCCUCAUCAUUUCCUGUCUUGGCCGGGCCACCAUUUUGGCUCCAACAGAGGAAGUGGAAUCACAGGGCGCCCAGCAGUUGCUCAGUAGUCAGUGUAGAUCCUGUGGGGCUGGCAGCAGCUACAUCUGGCUACUGGGUCUCUGCUGGCAGCCAUGUUAUUCAAGAAUCCUGACUGUACGCUUAUCAUAUGUGCGACUGCUUUUCUGGUGUACUUUGAGGGCUGUUUCUGAUGGGAUUAGCGUAUUAUUUCCUACUGGUGUUUUCUCUGUGUAGUUCACACCCUCUCUCUUUUGUGAUCUUGAGCUUUUAAGUUUUCUAAGAAAUGUCUCAAAUGCCCACCCACCGCGAGGAGAAAAAGCCCCCCGUGGAGUUAAUCCGAGGGUGCACGGGUACUUCAGAGGACAGCGGGAAUGUGUUUCUUGAAAUUAUAAUGAAAUUGAUGUACUGAGGAGCGUGGUGAGUUCUGGACCUGGCAUACAGUGUAGGAUUCUGUGUGUGUCAGUCUACAGCUACAUUGUCUGCUGGGUUUCAGGCCUGUACUCGAGAUACAUCUGUGUUUUUUUUCCAAUUUUUGUGAAGUGUCAACAAACAUGUAUGAAACAGCAUGGAUAAUUUGACAACUUUGUGUUUAUUGACUCAUCAUAAAACAUUCUUCAAACAAUAAAACAAUUUUAAAUGUC